RNAcentral lists this ribosomal RNA (393 nucleotides) under uncultured bacterium. RNAcentral describes it as "partial 16S ribosomal RNA". It matches the Rfam family "Bacterial small subunit ribosomal RNA", at positions 523 to 918 of the family's 1533-position model. The record is from RNAcentral.
AUACGGAGGAUGCGAGCGUUAUCCGGAUUUAUUGGGUUUAAAGGGAGCGUAGGUGGGAUAUUAAGUCAGCUGUGAAAGUUUGGGGCUCAACCUUAAAAUUGCCGUUGAUACUGGUUUACUUGAGUAUAGUUGAAGUAGGUGGAAUGCGUGGUGUAGCGGUGAAAUGCAUAGAUAUCACGCAGAACUCCGAUUGCGAAGGCAGCUUACUAAGUUAUAACUGACACUGAAGCACGAAAGCGUGGGUAUCAAACAGGAUUAGAUACCCUGGUAGUCCACGCAGUAAACGAUGAUUACUAGCUGUUUGCGAUAUACAGUAAGCGGCCAAGCGAAAGCAUUAAGUAUUCCACCUGGGGAGUACGCCGGCAACGGUGAAACUCAAAGGAAUUGACGGGG